UUUUCGGUUGUUUUUGUUUUUUUCGUCAUUUUUGGCGUUCCGGUAUUCCAUUAUUUAUUUGUUUUUUUUUGGUUCGAAGAAAUUCCGUUUAGUUUAUUAGGUUAUCCGUGUUGGUACAGUUUCCUUAGUUUAAUUCCUAAAAUAAGUAAAAAAUUAAUAGAUAUUUAGAUUGAAUAAUUACAUUUUGGUUAUCGUUGUGAUUUUGGUCUUGUCACUGUGUCCUCCAGCUCAUAUUCCGUGUCCUAUCCUUGAAAAUUUUCCUGUCCGUGUUUCCCUUGUGUUUCACCAGUGUCCAGAUCCAGUUGUUCCCGUUUUCUACCGGCUUUUCAGUAGCCUCCAUCCUUUUCCAUUAUUGUGUUUUCUUUUGAUGAUUUUCAUUCCAUUCCUGUGUUUUCCUUCAGUUGUGGUUUCCAAGAGUUGUCCUAGUCGUUUUGCAGAUUCCUUCAUUAUUUGUCUCCAAUGGUCCCGUUCAAUAUUCCUCCGUCCUUUUUGUCCUAGUCCCUUUUUGGUCCCGUUCCUGGUCAUCCUCGUCCUUCGUCGUUGUUUGGAUCGUUUCCUCAGCAACAAUCCAGUCCAAUCGGUGAUGCUGUUCCCCUUGUCGAACCUAAUCUGGGAAAGAAAAAGAGAAAAAAAAGCUUAACACCUAAGAAUUGGAACGACUCACCAUCUUCACUUUCCUUUUCCAUCGUUGUCCAUAUCGCUCACAAGGUUUUUUCUUCAUAAACACGGAAUCGUCCGUGUGAAACACAUAAAUUAAAAAAAAAAAAAAAAAAAAAAAAAAAAAAAAAAAAAAAAAACAAACUUCACUGACCAAACCAUCGCUCCGGUUUGUUUACUUCUUAAACACUGUUUAGUUGGCAAUAGCUUGAGUGACUUGUGUGAGUGUAUUGGGAGAAUGAGUGUACAUCGCUUGUAAGCGAGGGGUGCGUGAAUGUGUGAUUGGUUGAUUAUUUAGUUCUGUUUUGUGAUUUUGUUAGGAAAAAGGUCAUCUCAUCGUUGGAGCAUGCCAACGAUUGAGAAUGGCGAACUUUAAGAUUUUUCUUCGGUGGAAGCACGCAAUCUUUGGAGUUUCCAAAGUAGCUUCCAUAUCCGAAGAAAUUUCGGGCUAAUUUAAGAUGGAUAUUGUUUUCAUUCCUUUUUACUCGGGUAAAGUUCUGAGGUCGGAAUGAACAAUAUUCAUCGAGUUAUUUUUUCGACGUAGGUCGAUAGUACGUUUUUUUUUACAUCUCCAGAAACACUUCUAUUAAUGAGAAGUGGAGGAUGUAAGGAUUUUAGUUAUAGUUUUGGGUAAUUUUGAGUAUAUUUUUUCUUCAUUUUGUGUGAAUAGGAUUGUCAACUAAUAGUAGUUCUUGAAGGUCAGAUCGAUUGAUGUAUUUUCGAGUUUUUCUUGUUUCUCAGUUCAGUAGUUAGUUAGUUGCUGUAAUGCCAGUAAUUUUUGAUGGGCGUUUAGAGUUAACCUUUUACAGUGGUUCGCAUGACAUUUCGCUGGAGACCGGAGCUGUAAAGCGUUGAUGGUCAGUUACAGACAGAUUACCCGAUCUGAUACUGGAGAUAGAGGAUGAGUCAAUUCAGUUUGACGAUGACCACAUAUGACCCCGAAAAUGUUAGUGAACAUUCUGCGAAGGGAGACUCUAUUUUCGCCUUCGAAAAUUUGAUUGGUUUAUGCCAAUCAAAUUUUCGAAAAUUCAGCAGGGAAUGAUGUAGCGUGGUACUGGUUUCGACAUUUGGAAGCCCCUCGUUUAGUUAUUUUGAAGUUCAGAUUCUACACCAGCUCACUUGUGUGAAUCGGAGCCUCUCUCUUCUUUCAAUGUAUUGGAUGUAAGGCAACGCGAGUGCCGCUCCUCUUUUUAGAUUUGAGCAACUUGGCAUAAUGGGUGCUGGAUGUGAUUCGACGGCUGUGUUUUAGCCAAGACACCCAAAUACCAAUACACCCGAAAGACUCAUGCUUUCCUUUUUUCAUUUUUUUCGUUUGGAUAUUUCCCCCAAAUAGCAGAGUCUUUCGGCGGAGGUUUUCUUGUUCUUGGAACCUCAGAAACCCGGCAAGCGAUUCGAUUUGAACUGCGCUCGGGAGGUUAAAGGUGAUCGCCCGAGAAUAUUUGAAUAUGAGACCGAUGUAGGGACAAGGGAACUUGGCAUGACUUGCGUGAUUAUUAACUUCGUUAAUAAUUACGCAGUUCCGGUCCUAUUGAUUAGUACGCUGAUCUGAGGACUAAAAAUUAUGUUCUUCCAUUUCAACGUGGACCGUGGAAGAGGUCGGAGUGGUGUUAUUUUCUUGAACCGCGAAUUUCACAAAAGCUGGAUAGUCGAUAGAUUUAGGCAAAGUUGAAGUUGUACCCUCCCGUGCAUCCGUUAAAUACAUCCGGAGGAAGCGCCGCUACUGACCCCACGGAGUCAACGUUGGAAUUGACCAAAAAUCCAGCCAAGGCUCAAACCUUUCCGCCUGGUUCGAAGACUGCGCUGCGCGAACAAUACUGGCAGCCGCAACAGGCGUAAACCGGAAGUUAGGACCGCUCAUCGCACGCCCAGCUAGGAGUAGAACCCGUCGACGUAGCGAAUCACAUAAAUCCAUGGUAGUGAGUACCUUUUUUCCUUAUCCAUUAUUAACAUGCGCAUGUAGGAUAAGUGAUAUUGAGCAAAACGCUAUAAAUAGCUACUAACCACGAAAGCCACACAAUUCAAAGCCAUACACACACAAAUAAUGCAUGCAGUGGAGAGCUCACUCCAUAUGACUGUGUAAUUUCAAUCGCUAUAAGCGAAGCCAUUCAUGAAUAGCCUAACGGAGUAAAUAGCAAGCGCGCCGUCUUCUCAACCUAGAUGUGAUGAGAUCGAGACUUGGGAGGAAAAUUAGAGUAGAGUAAUGAAAUUUGAUUAAUGUUCUUAGAGUAAAUAAAUUUUCUAUGUUGAUGGAUGUUCUUUCCUGAUUGACUAAAUGUUCAAUGUAGAAGAGAAGUGUUGAUGAAGCUAAUUGAUUUAAGUGAUUGAGAAUGUUGUGAGAGAUGUUUUGAUAUUUAAUGUAGUGUAAAAUAAACUUUUCCGUUCGAUUUAUAUGUUAAGGUCUAAGAAACAAAUGUGUAUUUACUGGCUCGCGGUGGCCUAAACACCGACGAACCCGUUCACUCUUCUUUUUGUGUUAAUUAGGUCACGAGUCAGGGUGGAGACUCCUUUUUUUGUUUACUUCCACUCUCACUCCUACGCUCCGAAGCGAGCUCUGAAGUUGAGGGGAAGAUCAUUAUUAGUAGGUCCAGUGAGGAGACCUCAGCAUAAGUGGUAGUCAGUGGGAUCGACCCAGACUUCCUUGUGUCUGCAUUACGUCUCGUGGACAAACGAUAUCGCGGGUUCUCCCGAGAGUGCAGGAAAAAAGUCGCGAAGCUAACCGGGUUGGUGAGGAGAAAAGGACAAACCCGCCCUCAGUGGGUGUCUCAUUGCCGGGCAAGGAAAAUAACACGGCGGUCGGUCUCCCUCACGGGAGUGGCGCUUAAGCCGACCGCUUAUCUGCGCAAAUUCCCCGGUAGCGACGGGCUCGCGCGCUCC
Molecule: long non-coding RNA, 3531 nt
Organism: Toxorhynchites rutilus septentrionalis
Lineage: Eukaryota; Metazoa; Arthropoda; Insecta; Diptera; Culicidae
Exons: 3
Source: RefSeq, a predicted model, not a curated record